CCAACAGAGUAAAGGGGUGGGGGCUUAAAACUGUUUGUUAUUUUUUGUAGUUGUUGUUGUUUUAAAUAAAACAUAAUUUAAAUAAAUAAAUAAUCCUCACUUUUCUUAGAAUUUUUACUAGACUGCUUGGUCACGUGUCACCUGCUAUUUUUCUCAGCGCAUUUAGAAAUGAACCAAUCACAUUCGUUUGUGAUCAUUAUUUGAUUUCUUCUGGAAGUUCUGGGAGUUUCAGGUUCUGAAUCCAUAUGAUUAAUAGAUGUAAUCGGUUAUAUUUCGUUGCGUGCAUACAUUUCCAGUAAGACGAAGGGCAAAAACGUCCUGAGAUUUAAAUGUGGAGUUGGUUUUCGAGCCCCCGAGCCGAGCGCCCCCUGGUGGAACAUGGAAGAUUUGUUUGUGUAACAAAUGAAGGAUGUGUGUUUUUGGAGUGUCAGCCCACCCCUCUGAAAGAGCCCCUGACACUGGCUGCUGUGUCACAGGUGGCGCUGUUGCAGAAGACUCUAACAGAGCCAAAUGUGGAGCAGGAGGAGAGCCAGAUACUCCAGUAAACCUCCAUCCAUCCUGGGCUCAGCUGCUGAAGCUCAGCUGUUCUUCAUAAUCUGUUUUCGCUGCAGU
Molecule: long non-coding RNA, 612 nt
Organism: Cyprinus carpio (common carp)
Lineage: Eukaryota; Metazoa; Chordata; Actinopteri; Cypriniformes; Cyprinidae
Exons: 3
Source: RefSeq, a predicted model, not a curated record